UCCCUGGUGGUCCAGUGGUUAGGACCCCACACUUCCACUGCUUGGGGACCCAGGUUCGAUCCCUGGUCAGGGAC
Non-coding RNA from Lipotes vexillifer (Yangtze River dolphin), 74 nucleotides. NCBI's taxonomy places the organism in Eukaryota, Metazoa, Chordata, Mammalia, Artiodactyla, Lipotidae. The record is from the annotation of a RefSeq genome assembly.